CCUACGGGGGGCUGCAGUGGGGAAUAUUGGACAAUGGGGGGAACCCUGAUCCAGCCAUGCCGCGUGUGUGAAGAAGGCCCUCGGGUUGUAAAGCACUUUCAGUGAGGAAGAACGCCUGGUGGUUAAUACCCAUCAGGAAAGACAUCACUCACAGAAGAAGCACCGGCUAACUCCGUGCCAGCAGCCGCGGUAAUACGGAGGGUGCGAGCGUUAAUCGGAAUUACUGGGCGUAAAGCGCGCGUAGGUGGCUUGAUAAGCCGGUUGUGAAAGCCCCGGGCUCAACCUGGGAACGGCAUCCGGAACUGUCAAGCUAGAGUGCAGGAGAGGAAGGUAGAUUUCCCGGUGUAGCGGUGAAAUGCGUAGAGAUCGGGAGGAAUACCAGUGGCGAAGGCGGCCUUCUGGACUGACACUGACACUGAGGUGCGAAAGCGUGGGUAGCAAACAGGAUUAGAUACCCUUGUAGUC
This 465-nucleotide ribosomal RNA is filed under the name Vreelandella stevensii. Its description in RNAcentral is "partial 16S ribosomal RNA". It matches the Rfam family "Bacterial small subunit ribosomal RNA", at positions 338 to 795 of the family's 1533-position model. Lineage: Bacteria; Pseudomonadati; Pseudomonadota; Gammaproteobacteria; Oceanospirillales; Halomonadaceae. The record is from RNAcentral.